This 221-nucleotide ribosomal RNA is filed under the name uncultured bacterium. Its description in RNAcentral is "partial 16S ribosomal RNA". It matches the Rfam family "Bacterial small subunit ribosomal RNA", at positions 15 to 228 of the family's 1533-position model. The record is from RNAcentral.
GAUCAUGGCUCAGGACGAACGCUGGCGGCGUGCCUAAUACAUGCAAGUAGAACGCUGAAGGAGGAGCUUGCUUCUCCGGAUGAGUUGCGAACUGGUGAGUAACGCGUAGGUAACCUGCCUGGUAGCGGGGGAUAACUAUUGGAAACGAUAGCUAAUACCGCAUAAUAGUAGAUGUUGCAUGACAUUUGCUUAAAAGGUGCAAUUGCAUCACUACCAGAUGG